This is an RNA transcript of Ziziphus jujuba (common jujube), 1892 nucleotides long. It is a transcript of the gene named large ribosomal subunit protein eL6y, with no coding region annotated. The transcript is spliced from 6 exons. NCBI's taxonomy places the organism in Eukaryota, Viridiplantae, Streptophyta, Magnoliopsida, Rosales, Rhamnaceae. The record is from RefSeq and is a predicted model, not a curated record.
UUGGAAAUCCUUGCGGUGUUUUUGAAUGGACUAUUUUACUUCCACACUGUACGUAGCUGAUGAGCCCGUGGGUUUGAGUUUGCCCAGUACUGCAGAUUCUCAAAAAUAAAACGAGGGGGAAUUUGACCAAUGAGGAAUGAGCUUAGCAAUUUUUAUCCCGGUAUUUUAUUUUUUUUAUCCUUUCAAUUUUUAAUAAUUCCCAAAUACCCUUAUAUCCAAAUUAAAUAUUUUCUUUUUUUUUUUUUCUAUUUUUUCUUUUUUUUCUUCAUCCGACUUUUCUCUUUUCCUUCAUCAUCCUUUCCCCAAAGCUGGCUCAUCUCUUUUGCUAAACAUCCCCGUUUCAUCUCUCUGAUAACCAAGUAUUCAAGGUCUAAAAUGUACCACAAGAGAGGACUUUGGGAUAUCAAGGCCAAAAAAGACGGUGUUUUCCCUCACCACGAUCUGAAGCCUGCCGCAGAGAUCCCACCUCAGAAACCUCCCAAGUUCUACCCCAUUGAUGACGUCAAGAAACUGCUUGUCAACAAGCGCAAGCACAAGCCCACCAAGCUCGGGUUCAAUUCCGAAAAGGAUGAGUAUUACAUCGCGGACGGUGUUGAUUGUGUUGGCUAGGAGAUUUAAAGGGAAGAGAGUUGUAUUCCUGAAGCAACUUUCAUCCGGCUUGCUUUUGGUGGGCAAGACCGAUCCAUACGUUAUUUUAAGCCUAGGGGUCCAAGUCAUACGCAGCAAAAAGAACAACGAAACCAUAGUCAUUGGACCUCCUGGUGAACCAAUUUGGAAUCAGGAUACAAGCAACUAUAGAACAUUGUCUGGACAUAUGCAUCUUCUAUCAAGUCAUAUAAGAUAUUUGGUGAUGUAGUGGUGUUUGAUACCACUCAUUGCUUGACUGCAUUUGAUAUGCCACUUGGGAUAUGGGUUGGAAUGAAUAAUUAUGGUAUGCCUUGCUUCUUUGGUUGCUUGCUUCAACGAGAAGAAAAUCUAAGGUCUUUUUGAUGGGCAUUGAAGAAUUAUGAGAACAACAGAGUUGGCUGCUGCGGAGGAGAAGCUACAUGAGCUUGAGAGACAAAAGGAAGAAAUGUUGAGGUUCGGUUCCCCUGCUUCCCUUCUCCAAAGGCUUCAAGACAUUAUUGAAGAAUUAAUCAACAAAGGGUAUGAACGUCGAAAUAACGCAGCUGCAAUGAAAAUUCCUAUUACUAAUUGAUUGGAAAAUAUCAUGCAACAGCGCUCAAAUAAUGGCAGAGGCUUAUGUGUUAUUCCAUUGAACUUAUAUGAGUUUCAAAUUGUUGGCUAUGGCACGUUCGUUGGAGUAGUCAACUUAGAAAAUAAAACGUGCUCAUGCAAGGAAUUCGACAUUGAUGGAUUUCCUUGUGUCCAUGUCAUUGCAGCAUGUAAGCAUUGACAUAUUUCUCCAUAUAUCCUUCAUUCAGCGCAUUACUCAUUUGAUUCAUUUCGUGAUGCAUAUUCAAAAACCAUAUAUCCACUAGGAGAUAAAUGUCAGUGGCAUGCUCGAGAUGAUGUCAUAAACCAGCUUGUACUUCCACUUAAGAUUGGCAAACAGUCAGGAAGACCAAGAAGAAGAGGAUUCAAUCUCAAGGAGAGGAGCGUCUUCAAUAUAGAUGCGGGAGAUGCAAACAGAUUGGUCACAGCAGCCGAUGCUCAGCUGCCGUACCUCUUGAUAGCACUACCAAGCAACAGCACCAUUCAACCGAUGGACCAUAAAUUGCUCUACGCUAUAAUAAGACAAUGGGGGCAUGUUAUACAAUAUGCGUGUGUUAUGCAAUGUAGUAAGGAAUGCAAUUAGUAGCUCAACCGCUAACAUGUGUUUUGGCAUAAUAGACGUUGGUUUUAUGUGUUAUUAUGUUGGCAAAGUCAUCUGUCGUAUUAUGUUUUUAAAA